GGGGCUCUUCCAGCCGAAGACAUUCGCGCGCUUUCGUCAAAUCCAGGCGGGCGCGUGGAUGGCCGUUAAAGUGACAAGGCUGGGAAUGGGCCACGGAAUUGCACAGAACAGAUGGCUUCUGAUGACAUUAGUCACAGGAAGUUUAAAAAGUUAUAGCACAUUGGAUGGCGGGGGGAGAGAAGAAAGAAACGUCUAGAAUGGAUUAAGAAUUGUUUGAGAAAAAUCAAGGAGCAUUAGAUGAAAGAAGGCAAAUCAAUUUUCUAUCAGGGACAGUCUUUGAACCAAACACCCAAGCAUCCAGGAAGAUCAAAACACUGCAGCUGAUAGAAGAAACAGCAACGGGGAAUAGGUAAGCUAAGAAAGCAGAAAGGACAACUGGCAUCAUAAAGAAUAACCAAGUACAGAAACAGCACGCUGGAUGAUGGUACACAAUCACAGAUCACAAUAAGGAGACCAAGGAGCGUGUCAGCUGAAUCCAACGGAUAGAGUAGAGAACAAGCAACUAACAAACUUUUGUACGUGUUUAGG
Long non-coding RNA from Stegostoma tigrinum, 528 nucleotides. RefSeq lists it as uncharacterized. The record is from RefSeq and is a predicted model, not a curated record. The transcript is spliced from 3 exons. Lineage: Eukaryota; Metazoa; Chordata; Chondrichthyes; Orectolobiformes; Stegostomatidae.